This 254-nucleotide ribosomal RNA is filed under the name uncultured bacterium. RNAcentral describes it as "partial 16S ribosomal RNA". It matches the Rfam family "Bacterial small subunit ribosomal RNA", at positions 524 to 776 of the family's 1533-position model. The record is from RNAcentral.
UACGGGGGAUGCAAGCGUUAUCCGGAUUUAUUGGGUUUAAAGGGUGCGUAGGCUGUGAGGUAAGUCAGCGGUGAAAUGCCCCCGCUCAACGGGGUGAAGUGCCAUUGAUACUGCCUUGCUGGAAUGCGGAUGCCAUGGGAGGAAUGUGUGGUGUAGCGGUGAAAUGCAUAGAUAUCACACAGAACACCGAUUGCGAAGGCAUCUCACGAAUCCGCGAUUGACGCUGAUGCACGAAAGCGUGGGUAUCAAACAGG